AGUGAAAGUAAAAAUGGGAUUGAAAGCGGAAGUGGGUGUGAAUGUGCGGAAAGUGAAAGUGAGAAAGUGAAAGUAAAAGUGGGAGCGGAAGCGGACAUGAAAGCGAGGGAAGUGGAAAUAGAAGGGAAUGAGGAAGUGAAGGCGAAUGAGAAAGUGAAAGUGAAAGUNUGGGCCAUACUGGGAGCAACUGGGAGCAACUGGGAGGGACUGGGAGGCACUGGGAGCCAUACUGGGCCAUACUGGGAUGGACUGGGCCAUACUGGGAUGGACUGGGCCAUACUGGGCCAUACUGGGAUGGACUGGGAUGGACUGGGAGCCAUACUGGGCCAUACUGGGAUGGACUGGGCCAUACUGGGAGCAACUGGGAGGCACUGGGAGCGGUGGCGCCAUAUUGAAAUCCGUGGCUCCCUAUUUGGCAGCCGUGGCUCACUGUUUGGCGGCGUUGGCUCCCUAUUUAUUUGCUGUAGGCUCCAUUUUUAG
RNAcentral lists this long non-coding RNA (480 nucleotides) under Numida meleagris (helmeted guineafowl). RNAcentral's name for it is "lncRNA (ENSNMEG00000004150.1)". The record is from RNAcentral. Lineage: Eukaryota; Metazoa; Chordata; Aves; Galliformes; Numididae.